This 57-nucleotide transfer RNA is filed under the name Bos taurus (domestic cattle). It matches the Rfam family "tRNA", at positions 8 to 63 of the family's 71-position model. Rfam says of the family: Transfer RNA (tRNA) molecules are approximately 80 nucleotides in length. Their secondary structure includes four short double-helical elements and three loops (D, anti-codon, and T loops). Lineage: Eukaryota; Metazoa; Chordata; Mammalia; Artiodactyla; Bovidae. RNAcentral also lists the same sequence under 2 other names. The record is from Rfam by way of RNAcentral.
UGGCUCAGAGGGUAAAGCGUCUGCCUGCAAUGCAGAAGACCCCGGUUCAAUCCCUGG